UCGGCGGUAGCUCAGAGGUAGAGCCCCAACCGGUAAUUAGUACGUAGCGGGCUCGACUCCCGUUCGCGGAA
Molecule: transfer RNA, 71 nt
Filed under: Anisakis simplex (herring worm)
Lineage: Eukaryota; Metazoa; Nematoda; Chromadorea; Rhabditida; Anisakidae
Rfam family: tRNA
About the family: Transfer RNA (tRNA) molecules are approximately 80 nucleotides in length. Their secondary structure includes four short double-helical elements and three loops (D, anti-codon, and T loops).
Source: Rfam by way of RNAcentral